UACGGAGGGUGCGAGCGUUGUCCGGAAUCACUGGGCGUAAAGGGCGCGUAGGCGGCCUGAUAAGUAGGGGGUGAAAUCCUGCGGCUUAACCGCAGGGCUGCCUUCUAAACUGUCAGGCUAGAGCACGGUAGAGGCAGAUGGAAUUCCCGGUGUAGCGGUGGAAUGCGUAGAGAUCGGGAAGAACAUCAGUGGCGAAGGCGGUCUGCUGGGCCGUAACUGACGCUGAGGAGCGAAAGCGUGGGGAGCGAACAGG
RNAcentral lists this ribosomal RNA (253 nucleotides) under uncultured bacterium. RNAcentral's name for it is "partial 16S ribosomal RNA". It matches the Rfam family "Bacterial small subunit ribosomal RNA", at positions 524 to 776 of the family's 1533-position model. The record is from RNAcentral.